RNAcentral lists this ribosomal RNA (502 nucleotides) under uncultured bacterium. RNAcentral describes it as "partial 16S ribosomal RNA". It matches the Rfam family "Bacterial small subunit ribosomal RNA", at positions 28 to 507 of the family's 1533-position model. The record is from RNAcentral.
GACGAACGCUGGCGGCGUGCUUAACACAUGCAAGUCGAACGGUGAAGGGGUCUGCUUUUGUGGGCCCUGGAUGAGUGGCGAACGGGUGAGUAACACGUGAGUAACCUGCCCCCUUCUUCUGGAUAACCGCAUGAAAGUGUGGCUAAUACGGGAUAUUCUGGGUCUGUCGCAUGAUGGGUCUGGGAAAGAUUGCGCCUUCGGGUGUUUUUGGUGGGGGAUGGGCUCGCGGCCUAUCAGCUUGUUGGUGGGGUGAUGGCCUACCAAGGCGGUGACGGGUAGCCGGCCUGAGAGGGUGGACGGUCACACUGGGACUGAGACACGGCCCAGACUCCUACGGGAGGCAGCAGUGGGGAAUAUUGCACAAUGGGCGCAAGCCUGAUGCAGCGACGCCGCGUGAGGGAGGGAGGCCUUCGGGUUGUAAACCUCUUUCGCCAGUGAAGCAGGCCUGCUCCGUGUGGGUGGGUUGACGGUAGCUGGAUAAGAAGCGCCGGCUAACUACGUG